This 137-nucleotide ribosomal RNA is filed under the name uncultured eukaryote. RNAcentral's name for it is "partial 18S ribosomal RNA". It matches the Rfam family "Eukaryotic small subunit ribosomal RNA", at positions 1299 to 1458 of the family's 1831-position model. The record is from RNAcentral.
UGGUGGAGUGAUUUGUCUGCUUAAUUGCGAUAACGAACGAGACCUUAACCUGCUAAAUACCUCAUGUUGCUUCGGCAGCAUGCUGGGUUCUUAGAGGGACUAUCGGCUCAAGCCGAUGGAAGUUUGAGGCAAUAACA